UACGUAGGCGGAAAAUUAAGUCAGUAGUGAAAUCCUGGAGCUUAACUGUAGAACUGUUAUUGAUACUGGUUUUCUUGAAUAUAGUUGAAGUAGGCGGAAUGUGUAAUGUAGCGGUGAAAUGCUUAGAUAUUACACAGAACACCGAUUGCGAAGGCAGCUUACUAAGCUAUGAUUGACGCUGAGGUACGAAAGCGUGGGGAGCGAACAGGAUUAGAUACCCUGGUAGUCC
Molecule: ribosomal RNA, 229 nt
Filed under: uncultured bacterium
Lineage: Bacteria
Description: partial 16S ribosomal RNA
Rfam family: Bacterial small subunit ribosomal RNA
Source: RNAcentral